This 1024-nucleotide ribosomal RNA is filed under the name Diptera sp. JHY-2013. RNAcentral's name for it is "SSU rRNA". It matches the Rfam family "Eukaryotic small subunit ribosomal RNA", at positions 44 to 997 of the family's 1831-position model. The record is from RNAcentral. Lineage: Eukaryota; Metazoa; Arthropoda; Insecta; Diptera.
AUUAGCCAUGCAUGUCUAAGUACAAACUAAUUAAAGUGAAACCGCAAAAGGCUCAUUAUAUCAGUUAUGGUUCCUUAGAUUGUUAACAGUUACUUGGAUAACUGUGGUAAUUCUAGAGCUAAUACAUGCAUUAUAAACACGGACCUUUGGGACGUGUGCUUUUAUUAGGCUAAAACCAAGCGAUCGCAAGAUCGUUUUUAUGGUUGAACUCUAGAUAACUUGCAGAUCGCAUGGUCUUGUACCGGCGACAGAUCUUUCAAAUGUCUGCCCUAUCAACUUUUGAUGGUAGUAUUUAGGACUACCAUGGUUGCAACGGGUAACGGGGAAUCAGGGUUCGAUUCCGGAGAGGGAGCCUGAGAAACGGCUACCACAUCUAAGGAAGGCAGCAGGCGCGUAAAUUACCCACUCCCAGCCCGGGGAGGUAGUGACGAAAAAUAACAAUACAGGACUCAUAUUAGAGGCCCUGUAAUUGGAAUGAGUACACUUUAAAUCCUUUAACAAGGACCUAUUGGAGGGCAAGUCUGGUGCCAGCAGCCGCGGUAACUCCAGCUCCAAUAGCGUAUAUUAAAGUUGUUGCGGUUAAAACGUUCGUAGUUGAACUUGUGCUUCAUACGGGUAGUACAACUAUAAUUGUAGUUUGUACUGUACCUUAUGUAUGUAAGCGUAUUACCGGUGGAGUUCUUAUAUGCGUUUAAUACUUGUAUUUUUCGCAUAUUCCUCCUAUUUAAACCUGCUUCAGUGCUCUUCAUCGAGUGUUGUUGUGGGCCGGUACAAUUACUUUGAACAAAUUAGAGUGCUUAAAGCAGGCUCCAAAUGCCUGAAUAUUUUGUGCAUGGAAUAAUGAAAUAAGACCCCUGUUCUACUUUCAUUGGUUUUUAGAUCAAGAGGUAAUGAUUAAUAGAAGCAGUUUGGGGGCAUUAGUAUUACGACGCGAGAGGUGAAAUUCUUGGACCGUCGUAAGACUAACUUAAGCGAAAGCAUUUGCCAAAGAUGUUUUCAUUAAUCAAGAACGAAAGUUAGAGGU